UACGUAGGGUGCAAGCGUUAAUCGGAAUUACUGGGCGUAAAGCGUGCGCAGGCGGUUCGUGAUGUCUGGUGUGAAAGCCCCGGGCUUAACCUGGGAAUUGCAUUGGAAACUAGCGGGCUGGAGUGUGGCAGAGGGGGGUGGAAUUCCACGUGUAGCAGUGAAAUGCGUAGAGAUGUGGAGGAACACCGAUGGCGAAGGCAGCCCCCUGGGCUAACACUGACGCUCAUGCACGAAAGCGUGGGGAGCAAACAGG
This 253-nucleotide ribosomal RNA is filed under the name uncultured bacterium. RNAcentral's name for it is "partial 16S ribosomal RNA". It matches the Rfam family "Bacterial small subunit ribosomal RNA", at positions 524 to 776 of the family's 1533-position model. The record is from RNAcentral.